This 472-nucleotide ribosomal RNA is filed under the name uncultured bacterium. RNAcentral's name for it is "bacterial SSU rRNA". It matches the Rfam family "Bacterial small subunit ribosomal RNA", at positions 355 to 825 of the family's 1533-position model. The record is from RNAcentral.
UCGAGAAUCUUUCGCAAUGGGCGCAAGCCUGACGAAGCGACGCCGUGUGAGCGAAGAAGGCCUUCGGGUUGUAAAGCUCUUUCGCUAGGGAACAAGAGAUAUGGGACAAUACCCCAUAAAUUUGAUGGUACUUGGUAAAGAAGCACCGGCUAACCCCGUGCCAGCAGCUGCGGUAAUACGGAGGGUGCAAGCAUUGAUCGGAUUUACUGGGCGUAAAGGGCGCGUAGGCGGCAAUUCAAGUCAUCUGUGAAAUCUCCGGGCUUAACUCGGAACGGUCAGAUGAUACUGCUUUGCUAGAGUGCAGAAGGGGCAAUCGGAAUUCUUGGUGUAGCGGUGAAAUGCGUAGAUAUCAAGAGGAACACCUGAGGUGAAGACGGGUUGCUGGGCUGACACUGACGCUGAGGCGCGAAAGCCAGGGGAGCAAACGGGAUUAGAUACCCUAGUAGUCCCUGAGCGGGCUGGCAAGGCGCAU